UGGGGAAUAUUGCACAAUGGGCGCAAGCCUGAUGCAGCCAUGCCGCGUGUAUGAAGAAGGCCUUCGGGUUGUAAAGUACUUUCAGCGGGGAGGAAGGCGAUAAGGUUAAUAACCUUGUCGAUUGACGUUACCCGCAGAAGAAGCACCGGCUAACUCCGUGCUAGCAGCCGCGGUAAUACGGAGGGUGCAAGCGUUAAUCGGAAUUACUGGGCGUAAAGCGCACGCAGGCGGUCUGUCAAGUCGGAUGUGAAAUCCCCGGGCUCAACCUGGGAACUGCAUUCGAAACUGGCAGGCUAGAGUCUUGUAGAGGGGGGUAGAAUUCCAGGUGUAGCGGUGAAAUGCGUAGAGAUCUGGAGGAAUACCGGUGGCGAAGGCGGCCCCCUGGACAAAGACUGACGCUCAGGUGCGAAAGCGUGGGGAGCAAACA
Molecule: ribosomal RNA, 427 nt
Filed under: uncultured bacterium
Lineage: Bacteria
Description: partial 16S ribosomal RNA
Rfam family: Bacterial small subunit ribosomal RNA
Source: RNAcentral